AACGAACGCUGGCGGCAUGCCUAACACAUGCAAGUCGAACGAGAACUUCGGGUCUUGUGGCGCACGGGUGCGUAACGCGUGGGAACCUGCCCAUAGGUUCGGAAUAACUCCCCGAAUGGGGUGCUAAUACCGGAUAAUGUCUUCGGACCAAAGAUUUAUUGCCUUUGGAUGGGCCUGAGUUGUAUUCGCUAGUGGGUAGGGUAAAAGCCUACAAAGGCGGCCAUCCAAAGCUGGUAGGGGAGGAUGGUCAGCCACACUGCGAGGGGGACACGGCCCGGAUUCCACGGGAAGGCAGAAGGGGGGAAUGUGGGACACGGGGCGAAAGCUGAAUGCAGCAAGACCGCGAGAGUGAGGAAGGCGUGAGGAUUGUAAGGCUCUUUACCCGGGAUGAUAAUGACAGUACCGGGAGAAUAAGCUCCGGCUAACUCCGUG
This 432-nucleotide ribosomal RNA is filed under the name uncultured bacterium. RNAcentral's name for it is "partial 16S ribosomal RNA". It matches the Rfam family "Bacterial small subunit ribosomal RNA", at positions 29 to 507 of the family's 1533-position model. The record is from RNAcentral.